RNAcentral lists this ribosomal RNA (589 nucleotides) under uncultured bacterium. Its description in RNAcentral is "partial 16S ribosomal RNA". It matches the Rfam family "Bacterial small subunit ribosomal RNA", at positions 355 to 1376 of the family's 1533-position model. The record is from RNAcentral.
UGGGGAAUAUUGGACAAUGGGCGCAAGCCUGAUCCAGCAAUGCCGCGUGUGUGAAGAAGGCCUUCGGGUUGUAAAGCACUUUUAUCAGGAGCGAAACGCUGUCGGCUAAUACCCGGCGGAACUGACGGUACCUGAGGAAUAAGCACCGGCUAACUUCGUGCCAGCAGCCGCGGUAAUACGAAGGGUGCAAGCGUUAAUCGGAAUUACUGGGCGUAAAGCGUGCGUAGGCGGUUUCUUAAGUCUGCUGUGAAAUCCCCGGGCUCAACCUGGGAAUGGCAGUGGAUACUGGGAGGCUAGAGUGUGUCAGAGGGUGGUGGAAUUCCCGGUGUAGCGGUGAAAUGCGUAGAGAUCGGGAGGAACAUCAGUGGCGAAGGCGGCCACCUGGGACAACACUGACGCUGAGGCACGAAAGCGUGGGGAGCAAACAGGAUUAGAUACCCUGGUAGUCCACGCCCUAAAGCGAUGCGAACUGGAUGUUGGUCUCAACUCGGAGAUCAGUGUCGAAGCUAACGCGUUAAGUUCGCCGCCUGGGGAGUAUGGUCGCAAGACUGAAACUCAAAUGAAUUGACGGGGUCAUAGCUGUUUCCUG